CACUUAGCUGGUAUUUCAGCUUUUUCAUUGCUAAUAAAUCCCCAAUCAACUGUCUUUGAGGGUUGAUUAAUAUUGAUCUUUUAUAGCUUCCAUUUUGCUCUUCAACAUACUAUUUGAUGUUGUCGGGGUAGAGAGAAUUUGCCUCAAGAAAACGAUGGGCUUCUGGCUGUCAUUAAUUAUUCAUUCAAGCUUGAAAAUAAGGAAAGC
RNAcentral lists this long non-coding RNA (207 nucleotides) under Physcomitrium patens. Its description in RNAcentral is "long non-coding RNA (PPAT_LNC006801)". Lineage: Eukaryota; Viridiplantae; Streptophyta; Bryopsida; Funariales; Funariaceae. The record is from RNAcentral.